RNAcentral lists this long non-coding RNA (643 nucleotides) under Phasianus colchicus (ring-necked pheasant). RNAcentral's name for it is "lncRNA (ENSPCLG00000001035.1)". Lineage: Eukaryota; Metazoa; Chordata; Aves; Galliformes; Phasianidae. The record is from RNAcentral.
UUUUUAUGUAGACAGAGAAGAGUGGGCAAGAAAGUAUUGGAAAUUAGGUAGGAACAGAUACACCAGAAAACUGAAGGCCUGGACUUUCUGUCCUGCUGUACCCAGAGCAGCCCUUCAAGUCCUUCAGGAUUGAGACUUCAGGCUUUCAUCUGCCUGCCCACAGCUGUGAAUGUCAGUUUGGAAAAGUAAGACUCAAGACAUACACCUGAAACUACUUACUCUGUGCCAGUGAUCUGGCUGUGUAUUUGAAAGCACAAGAAAGAAGGAGGCAGUACACUGAAAUGCAGGUGUCUUGUCUCAUAAUAAACACAGACUUGAACACUCUAAGGUGUGUGCCCAGAGAGACAGCAGUCAGUCCCAGUCUGUCCGUCAAGGUGGACAGCAUCACAAGUAAUCAACAGUGGUCACCCCAGGGAUGAAGAUGGAUAUCCGUGGAUGUGCAGCUCUAGGCUUGUGCACCCUAAGCGUCAGCAAGGCAAAAGUUCACUCAUUAAGUUUGUGGUGUUAGGACAUCUGAUUUUACUUGUCUUGGAAAAUGAAUUUGUGAAAUGUGAUCCCUGAACACAUCGUAGAAAGAUGUAAGCUCUUCUAAUGGGAAAAAAAAGGUUAUCAGCUUUUAAAAUGUAUGUGCUUAAGCCCUAAA